RNAcentral lists this ribosomal RNA (775 nucleotides) under Trichormus doliolum RPAN53. RNAcentral's name for it is "partial 16S ribosomal RNA". It matches the Rfam family "Bacterial small subunit ribosomal RNA", at positions 61 to 1096 of the family's 1533-position model. The record is from RNAcentral. Lineage: Bacteria; Bacillati; Cyanobacteriota; Cyanophyceae; Nostocales; Nostocaceae.
ACCUUUCUUAAUCAUUCACAUCCAAUAUAAUUAAAUACACAUCCCCCUUUUCUCUCUACCCAUUUUUGGGGAUUUCCCACAAGGGGGGAAAGCCCACCGGAGCAAUACCGCGUGGGGGAGGAAGGCUCUUGCGGUUUUAACCCUCUUUUCCCAAGGAAAAAAAAAGUGAAGGGUACCUGAGGAAUCAGAUUCGGCUAACUCCUCCCCAGCAGCGGCGGUAAAAAGGGGAACGCUAGCUUCAUCCGGAAUGAUUGGGCGUAAAGCGUCCGCAGGCGGCUAUGUAAGUCCGCUGUUAAAGAGCAAACCUUACCUUUGUAAAAGCAGGGGAAACUACAUAGCUAAAGUGCGUUCGGGGCAGAGGGAAUUCCUGGUGGAGCGGUGAAAUGCGUAGAAAUCAGGAAGAAAACCGGUGGGGAAGGCUUUCUCUUUGGUCGCAACUAAAAAAGAGGGACGAAAGCUAGGGGAGCGAAUGGGAUUAGAUACCCCCGUAGUCCUAGCCGUAAACGAAGGAUACUAGGCGUUGCGAGUAUCGACCCUCGCAGUGCCGGAGCCAACGCGUUAAGUAUCCCGCCUGGGGAGUACGCACGCAAGUGUGAAACUCAAAGGAAUUGACGGGGGCCCGCACAAGCGGUGGAGUAUGUGGUUUAAUUCGAUGCAACGCGAAGAACCUUACCAAGACUUGACAUGUCGCGAAUCUUCUUGAAAGGGAAGAGUGCUUAGGAGCGCGAACACGGGGGCAUGGCGUCGCAGCCUGUCGAAUUGGUAUCCACAUAGG